Cucurbita moschata (crookneck pumpkin) is the source of this 2527-nucleotide long non-coding RNA. RefSeq lists it as uncharacterized. The transcript is spliced from 2 exons. NCBI's taxonomy places the organism in Eukaryota, Viridiplantae, Streptophyta, Magnoliopsida, Cucurbitales, Cucurbitaceae. The record is from RefSeq and is a predicted model, not a curated record.
UCCCCACGUCUCGAUGGCGCCAAACCGCCGAUACUUGUCCGACCCUAUGCGCGCCAAAAUGGCACCCCAAAUCGCCGCUUGAUGAACAAAACCUAAAGCCCACUCACAUCAGACGGUCCAUGGAUUCUGAUCUCCGAUUCACUCAUUUCCCACGAUCACAUCGAUUUUCAAUUUCACCUGUUCGAUCGUUUUCAAAUCGUGCCGUCAUGGAAAGAGAGAGGGAGAUCGGUGGAGUUUGUUCAAUCCCCACUAAUCGCAGGACGGGAAGUUCAAUUUCAAAUGCACCGACAGUGAGCGCGUUGAAGAUGAAGCGCUUUUCGCAAUCUGCGUCGACUUCGCUUCGCCAUGUGAGUUCUUGAAUCCGGAGGUACGAGCUCUACUCUUACUUCCUCGAGUUUAUCUUGUCCGUACAGAUUGCCAUUGUUUUGGUACAACCAGCUCUCAGAGCGCUUUGGUCGUUUAUCUUCACCGAAAGUACUUGUUAGGUUACUAAAUCUUUGUUUCUCUUAGGGCUGCUGGAAUCUCUAUUGUUGUUUUGAACAUUAAUUCUUUGAUAUUUGGCUUUCUGGUAGUAAUUCGUCGGAUUAAUUAGUUUAGCAAACUGAGACGAAUUCCAAUUUUGCCUCAUACUUGGUGAACAAAUAGAUUGUAUAACGACGAAUUAGGGUAGUUUUAUUUCUAACAGAGCGGUCGGCAGUCACCAUCGCGUUCUUCUGCGCUCGAGGACGGAUUCUCAAACAAAAUAUCACAUCGAUAUCGCGGAAUCAAUUGCGAUCUCAUUUGCUGGCGCAAGAACGACAUUGACAUUUUUGGCCACACAACGAGUGAGGCCUUCAAUUGCUUUUAUUCGGUUGUCGGUUGUAGCGCAGUCGCAGGAGCAGUCAUAAAGUUGCUGCCCUUUCAUCAAUACCCCACCCUUAGCAUAAGGAUGCUGCCAGCCACUGCGUGGGGGAUGGUUUUUUCUUCUGCUGGUUCGGGUUUGUAUCUGUGGUAUAUAUUAUAUAUGGUCGAUGAGAUGCAGGCAAAUGGCGGACGCGGUAAAUUUUUCUUCUCUUUCCCAGUUACUAUAAUUUAACAAUAAAAAUUGAUGGGAAAAAAUAUAGGCAUACAUGGUCAAAAUAAUGGUAAAGUACGUUUUUGACAUUUUUCCUACGGUAAAUUGUGAUUACUAAUUUGUUUACUUUUAUAGCAUUGGGUUUUUUUUUUUUAAACAAGCAGGGGCCAGACAAAUGAUCAUAAAAUGUUGUGAAAAUUUAAAUUUUACCCAACUAGACAUUUUAAUGGAGAUUGUUAACUAUGGGGUUUUAGGGGGUUAAAAAUAAGGACUGAGGGUAAAAUUUGGAAGAAGAGGGUCUGUAUGGAUAACGAAAGGAAACAUAGAAAUUUUGAAUUCGCUCGUAAGCCUCACAUAACAUUAUCCAAUUCACUUUAACCCUUUUCCCCCAACAAAAACUAAAAAGAUAAAAGAAAGAAACGAAGAGAAUAUAGCUUUAAAGGCCCAUAGUUUUUGGACACGUCAUCUUCUAGAGAGUACCGUUGGUUUCUUACUGGUCCAAGGAAGGUUUGUCCUUUUUUUCUUAAAUAAUAAUAUUGUCCCUCAAAAGUUCAUGAUAUCAGAACUCAGAAGCUGUGCCCUUUGAGUAAAACUAUUGUACCGUAAAAUGUCUUCGAAGUGUAAUGCUUUUGAUGUGGCCAUGUGGGGCACAAGUAGCCUAGGACUCUCAGGAGGACUACCCCAUUUGUACCUUAUUUAGAACAGCGUUGAUUAUAGUCAUCAAAGACCCUAAUUCAAACUCCUAAAACCGACAUUUUUUAAAUUAAAAAAAAAGAAAAACCCUAGAACUGCAUAGGCUUGAACUGUGUCUAGAGAUGCUACUACAUCAUUUUCUUUACGUAGAGAAAAGAGAAUGACUUGAACAAGAUACCCCUUACCUCGACAGCCUCUAAGGAACCAAGUGAGUCUACCAAUACCUUGUGCUUUCUUCUUUGAUCAUAUUGUGAGGAUUCGUUUGGAAUAUGACUGAACGUCUCGCAUUGACACGAUAGGUGAAAGAUUAUAGUAUAUAACUGAGGUUAACUAUGUGUACUAGUAUUUAAUUUUUUUUUAUGAAUAUUCUACUAGAUGUGUGGAUGGUCCACCAUCUUCAACAAAGUUAUGAGUAUUAUAAUCGUACAGAACCUUUACCAUGGCUCGAUCCACAAAUAAAGAAGAGGGGAACCCUUAGAACCUGGCAAAGUCAUUAUCGAUGAUUCUUGAGCAAUUCCCAACCAACACAUGCGAUUCACUCCCGUAAAGAUUCUAACACACAAUAGACAUGACUCCUUACCUUAGGAGCAGGAUAAGUGAGACAGCCCCGACCAGUGCCGGUGAAGAACGCAAGCAAAGCAGGAGCUCGGGCAUUGUUAUAUUCCAUUAAGAGAAAGGAGGUAGACUAGUAAGAAGGCCGGGGGAGUGAACCGAAAAGCUCAGCUUUGUGGAACGGACCAAUCUUUCGUACCGCCCCUUACUCUCUCUCUAUAAAAAAAA